RNAcentral lists this transfer RNA (919 nucleotides) under Bradyrhizobium sp. 09LoS36_4. Its description in RNAcentral is "16S-23S ribosomal RNA intergenic spacer". The stretch from base 225 to 298 matches the Rfam family "tRNA". RNAcentral also lists the same sequence under 12 other names. Lineage: Bacteria; Pseudomonadati; Pseudomonadota; Alphaproteobacteria; Hyphomicrobiales; Nitrobacteraceae. The record is from RNAcentral.
CUAAGGAUGAUCCUUCAGCGAGCUCACGCUCACUAUCGGAUCGUUUUAGAAACAUCAGUGGCCAACAGAUCGCCAGAUCGUUGAGCUGCAUUGGCGGGAUUUCGCCGUCUUCGUUUCUCUUUCUUCGCGGACGAACACGCGCCGGGGCUGCGCUGUGCGAUUGCAUUCGGCGCUGGUCGCCGAUGCAUGCACGCAAGACCCUAGUCCUGAUAGGAUAGCGUUAGGGGCUUGUAGCUCAGUUGGUUAGAGCGCGCGCUUGAUAAGCGUGAGGUCGGAAGUUCAAGUCUUCCCAGGCCCACCAGCCUUCGCUCGCGCCAGCGAGUGCAAGGCUGCCACGCCGAAGCCCUGUGGGCGAAGGCGGGCUAGUCAGCGCGAGCUUCGGCUCGGCAAGCCAUGGUACGAGCAUCGCGCUUCGUCUUCUGGUUACGGGGCCAUAGCUCAGCUGGGAGAGCGCGUGCUUUGCAAGCAUGAGGUCGUCGGUUCGAUCCCGUCUGGCUCCACCAGAUGGUUUGAUCAUCGAUGCCGUGUUUGCAGGUAUUCAACCGUCGUCCGCGAAACAUCACUUCGCACUCAUUAGUCCGGAUGGACAAUGAGCUGCGUGUUUUCUGACAUCGUAAAGAGGAGAUCGAUCCGAGUUGGGUCGUGCAGCAAAUCGUUGCGCGAGCCUUCAUUAUCUCCGGAUCAUUUCGGCGCUCGCGCGCCUUUCAGUGCGGCCCACAAGGUUGCAUCUGGAAGAUGGGCGAGUUGUAAAUGAUCCUUUUAGCGAAGCUUGACCGCCUCGCUAUCGGAACGAUCUUACGAAGCAAGCUGGUCUUUCUAGUCAAUGUCCGGCUGUACGUAGCAUUCAUCGAGGGUGCGCGCCGCAAGGCAAUCGUACAGACAACAUUCUGCCGAGUGUGUGGACAUUGAUAAUGAGAGC